CUGGCGGCAGGCCUAACACAUGCAAGUCGAGCGCACUCUUCGGAGUGAGCGGCGGACGGGUUAGUAACGCGUGGGAACAUACCCUUUUCUACGGAAUAGCCUCGGGAAACUGAGAGUAAUACCGUAUACGCCCUUUUGGGGAAAGAUUUAUCGGUAUCGGAUUAGCCCGCGUAAGAUUAGAUAGUUGGUGGGGUAAUGGCCUACCAAGUCUACGAUCUUUAGCUGGUUUUAGAGGAUGAUCAGCAACACUGGGACUGAGACACGGCCCAGACUCCUACGGGAGGCAGCAGUGGGGAAUCUUAGACAAUGGGCGCAAGCCUGAUCUAGCCAUGCCGCGUGAGUGAAGAAGGCCUUAGGGUCGUAAAACUCUUUCGCCAGAGAUGAUAAUGACAGUAUCUGGUAAAGAAACCCCGGCUAACUCCGUGCCAGCAGCCGCGGUAAUACGGAGGGGGUUAGCGUUGUUCGGAAUUACUGGGCGUAAAGCGCACGUAGGCGGACUGGAAAGUUGGGGGUGAAAUCCCGGGGCUCAACCUCGGAACUGCCUCCAAAACUAUCAGUCUAGAGUUCGAGAGAGGUGAGUGGAAUUCCAAGUGUAGAGGUGAAAUUCGUAGAUAUUUGGAGGAACACCAGUGGCGAAGGCGGCUCACUGGCUCGAUACUGACGCUGAGGUGCGAAAGUGUGGGGAGCAAACAGGAUUAGAUACCCUGGUAGUCCACACCGUAAACGAUGAAU
Molecule: ribosomal RNA, 732 nt
Filed under: uncultured marine bacterium
Lineage: Bacteria
Description: bacterial SSU rRNA
Rfam family: Bacterial small subunit ribosomal RNA
Source: RNAcentral